This 222-nucleotide ribosomal RNA is filed under the name Prymnesium parvum. Its description in RNAcentral is "partial Bacterial small subunit ribosomal RNA". It matches the Rfam family "Bacterial small subunit ribosomal RNA", at positions 535 to 755 of the family's 1533-position model. Lineage: Eukaryota; Haptophyta; Prymnesiales; Prymnesiaceae. The record is from RNAcentral.
CGAGCGUUGUCCGGAAUUAUUGGGCGUAAAGGGCUCGUAGGUGGUUUGUCGCGUCGUCUGUGAAAUUCCGGGGCUUAACUCCGGGCGUGCAGGCGAUACGGGCAUAACUUGAGUGCUGUAGGGGAGACUGGAAUUCCUGGUGUAGCGGUGAAAUGCGCAGAUAUCAGGAGGAACACCGGUGGCGAAGGCGGGUCUCUGGGCCGAUACUGACGCUGAGGAGCG